UGGGCGCAGCUGAUGCAGCCAUGCCGCGUGUGUGAAGAAGGCCUUCGGGUUGUAAAGCACUUUCAGCCGUGAGGAAGGCGGAGUCGUUAAUAGCGGCCUCGUUUGACGUUAGCUGCAGAAGAAGCACCGGCUAACUCCGUGCCAGCAGCCGCGGUAAU
Molecule: ribosomal RNA, 158 nt
Filed under: uncultured bacterium
Lineage: Bacteria
Description: partial 16S ribosomal RNA
Rfam family: Bacterial small subunit ribosomal RNA
Source: RNAcentral